UUGGGUUCCUAUUUUGAUAAAAUUGAGUCAAUAAAGCCCUUGCCAUUAAAUAGCAAUGGAUGACGUUAACUUUGUGGCGAACUGGCAUGUUGAGUUGUCCUUUAAUUAACACGUGGCACAAUAAAAUCCCGUUGUGUGUAAACCUUCUCCCCUUCCUCUUCCUCACCAACUCCAACCUCACCUUCUCCCCUAUUUGGGAAACUUUCUUCUCACCCUCUCACACCCACGUCUUCAACAUCUGCAUCCACGCCCAUCACCC
This 259-nucleotide long non-coding RNA is filed under the name Vigna radiata. RNAcentral describes it as "long non-coding RNA (VRAD_LNC017941)". The record is from RNAcentral. Lineage: Eukaryota; Viridiplantae; Streptophyta; Magnoliopsida; Fabales; Fabaceae.